AGGGCGUAUGGGGAAUGCCUAGGCUCUUGGAGGCGAAGAAAGACGUGGUAAGCUGCGAUAAGCUUCGGGGAUUUGCAAACAAGAUUUGAUCCGGAGAUUUCUGAAUGGGACAACCCGUCAGGUAGAAGACCUGACACAUCGCAAGAUGGGCCAACCCUCUGAACUGAAACAUCUUAGUAGGAGGAGGAAAAGAAAGAAACAUCGAUUUCCUAAGUAGCGGCGAGCGAACGGGAAACAGCCUAAACCACAAUUGUUACGGCAACUGUGGGGUUGUAGGACUGCAAUAUUCAAAUGACUGUGAACUGGAAUGUUCUGGAAAGUUCAUCCAUAGAGAGUGAAAGACUCGUACAGGCAAGCACGUCAGGCGAUAGCAGUAUCCUGAGUAGGGCGGGACACGAGGAAUCCUGUCUGAAUCCGCCGGGACCACCCGGUAAGGCUAAAUACUCCCAAGAGACCGAUAGUGAACCAGUACCGUGAGGGAAAGGUGAAAAGAACCCCGAACAGGGGAGUGAAAUAGAACCUGAAACCAUACGCUUACAACCGGUCGGAGCAGCUUCGUGCUGUGACGGCGUGCCUAUUGAAUAAUGAGCCUACGAGUUACUAAUCACUAGCGAGGUUAAGUGCAAGGAUGCACGGAGCCGAAGCGAAAGCGAGUCUGAACAGGGCGUUUAGUUAGUGGUUGUAGACGCGAAACCUUGCGAUCUACCCUUGAGCAGGUUGAAGGUUGGGUAAAACCAACUGGAGGACCGAACGAAUAAGCGUUGAAAAGCUUCUCGAUGACUUGAGGGUAGGGGUGAAAGGCUAAUCAAGCUGGGAAAUAGCUCGUACUCCCCGAAAUGCCUUUAGGGGCAGCGUUGUAAUUAAGAGUCUACUGGAGGUAGAGCUACUGAUUGGAUGCGGGGGCUUCACCGCCUACCAAAUCCUGACAAACUCCGAAUGCCAGUAGUAUGAUUUACAGCAGUGAGUGACUGGGUGCUAAUGUCCAGUCGCAAAAGAGGAACAACUCAGACCAGCAACUAAGGUCCCGAAGAAUAUGCUAAGUUGAUCUAACGAUGUUUUGUUGCAGAGACAGCUAGGAUGUUAGCUUGGAAGCAGCUAUUCAUUCAAAGAGUGCGUAACAGCUCACUAGUCGAGCGACAGAGCGUGGAUAAUAAACGGGCAUCAAGCAUAUCACCGAAGUUCUGGGCGCGAGAGCGCGGUAGGGGAGCAUUCCAUUCAGCGUCGAAGCAGUUUCGUGAGGAAUUGUGGAGCGUAUGGAAAAGCAAAUGUAGGCAUGAGUAACGAUAAUGCGGGAGAGUAACCCGCACACCGCAAGACCAAGGUUUCCUGAUCAACGCUAAUCGGAUCAGGGUUAGUCGGGUCCUAAGGGUAAGCCGAACGGUGAUCUCGAUGGACAAUCGGUUAAUAUUCCGAUACUAACAUAUACCUCGAUGGAGAGACGAAGGAACGUAAGUGCCGCCACCUGACGGAAUAGGUGGUUAAAGGGCGUAGGUAUAGGGGCAGAUUAAGAGUUAGUCCUUGCUGAAACCUGACAGUACAGAGAGCCUACGGGCAAUUUGAUAGAGCACCCAAGUCGACUUCCGAGAAAAUCUUCUAAGUUAUAGUAUAUGUUACCCGUACCGUAAACCGACACAGGUGGUCGAGGAGAGUAUCCUAAGGUGCUCGAGUGAAUCACGGUUAAGGAACUAGGCAAAUUAACCCCGUAACUUCGGGAAAAGGGGUCCCUAUGAAAGUAGGGCGCAGCGAAGAGGUCCAGGCGACUGUUUAUCAAAAACACAGGGCUCUGCAAAUUCGAAAGAAGACGUAUAGGGCCUGACACCUGCCCGGUGCUGGAAGGUUAAGAGGGGAUGUCAUCGCAAGAGAAGCAUUGAAUCGAAGCCCCAGUAAACGGCGGCCGUAACUAUAACGGUCCUAAGGUAGCGAAAUUCCUUGUCGGGUAAGUUCCGACCUGCACGAAUGGUGUAACGAUCUGGACACUGUCUCAACCGUGAGCUCGGUGAAAUUGUAGUCCCGGUGAUGAUGCCGGGUACCCGCAACGGGACGAAAAGACCCCGUGAACCUUUACUAUAGCUUAACGCUGAAUUUGGGUACACAAUGUGUAGGAUAGG
This 2108-nucleotide ribosomal RNA is filed under the name human gut metagenome. RNAcentral's name for it is "bacterial LSU rRNA". It matches the Rfam family "Bacterial large subunit ribosomal RNA", at positions 14 to 2147 of the family's 2925-position model. The record is from RNAcentral.